This 297-nucleotide long non-coding RNA is filed under the name Vigna radiata. RNAcentral describes it as "long non-coding RNA (VRAD_LNC001837)". Lineage: Eukaryota; Viridiplantae; Streptophyta; Magnoliopsida; Fabales; Fabaceae. The record is from RNAcentral.
GGGUGGAGUUGAAGGACGAUCCCGUGGGGAAUGAGAGUUUAAAGAAGGAGAAGGAUCACAGACAAUAGGAAUAUCAACAGUAGCAGGUGGAGGUACAGAACUAGAAGAUAAAUGUGAAAAAUAAAACGAAGAUUCAUCAAAAGUGACAUCAGCGGAGAUAAAAUGACAAUUGAGGGAAAGGAAAAAACACUUAUAGCCCUUUUGUGACCGUGAAAAUCCUAAGAAGACACAUUUGUGAGAUCUAGGAGAUAACUUAUCAAGACCAAGACUAAAAUCAUGAACGAAACAUGUAGACCC